This 253-nucleotide ribosomal RNA is filed under the name uncultured bacterium. Its description in RNAcentral is "partial 16S ribosomal RNA". It matches the Rfam family "Bacterial small subunit ribosomal RNA", at positions 524 to 776 of the family's 1533-position model. The record is from RNAcentral.
UACGUAGGGGGCUAGCGUUGUUCGGAAUUACUGGGCGUAAAGCGCGCGUAGGCGGCUUUGUAAGUUAGAGGUGAAAGCCCGGGGCUCAACCCCGGAACUGCCUUUAAGACUGCAUCGCUUGAAUCCAGGAGAGGUGAGUGGAAUUCCGAGUGUAGAGGUGAAAUUCGUAGAUAUUCGGAAGAACACCAGUGGCGAAGGCGGCUCACUGGACUGGUAUUGACGCUGAGGUGCGAAAACGUGGGGAGCAAACAGG